CUACGGGGGGCAGCAGUGGGGAAUAUUGCACAAUGGGCGCAAGCCUGAUGCAGCCAUGCCGCGUGUAUGAAGAAGGCCUUCGGGUUGUAAAGUACUUUCAGCGGGGAGGAAGGGAGUAAAGUUAAUACCUUUGCUCAUUGACGUUACCCGCAGAAGAAGCACCGGCUAACUCCGUGCCAGCAGCCGCGGUAAUACGGAGGGUGCAAGCGUUAAUCGGAAUUACUGGGCGUAAAGCGCACGCAGGCGGUUUGUUAAGUCAGAUGUGAAAUCCCCGGGCUCAACCUGGGAACUGCAUCUGAUACUGGCAAGCUUGAGUAUCGUAGAGGGGGGUAGAAUUCCAGGUGUAGCGGUGAGAUGCGUAGAGAUCUGGAGGAAUACCGGUGGCGAAGGCGGCCUCCUGGACGAAGACUGACGCUCAGGUGCGAAAGCGUAGGGAGCAAACAGGAUUAGAUACCCUCGUAGUC
This 464-nucleotide ribosomal RNA is filed under the name uncultured bacterium. RNAcentral's name for it is "partial 16S ribosomal RNA". It matches the Rfam family "Bacterial small subunit ribosomal RNA", at positions 339 to 795 of the family's 1533-position model. The record is from RNAcentral.